CUAGUCUUCAAUAUUCCUAGCACUGUUUUCAUCCAUUUUAGUUCAGAGCUUUCUUUUUUAUUAAAUAUAUAAAUGCUUUUUAAAUCUAAGUAUAUGUCCUCUAGUUGAUUUCAAUAAAAAAAUAAUUCUCUGGUAGACCAGAAAAUCAGUCAAUAUCCCCGACAUAAUAUUUUUUCUUCCAUCAUUCAAAAGUCGAUUUUGAAUCCGAGUGAAUGUUCUAAUUUUUAUGCAACUCCAAUCACCUCCCUGUGGAUC
Molecule: long non-coding RNA, 255 nt
Filed under: Phoenix dactylifera (date palm)
Lineage: Eukaryota; Viridiplantae; Streptophyta; Magnoliopsida; Arecales; Arecaceae
Description: long non-coding RNA (PDAC_LNC010453)
Source: RNAcentral